Molecule: ribosomal RNA, 261 nt
Filed under: uncultured archaeon
Lineage: Archaea
Description: partial 16S ribosomal RNA
Rfam family: Archaeal small subunit ribosomal RNA
Source: RNAcentral
ACAGUCACACAUUAGAUACCCCCGUAGUCCUGGCCGUAAACGAUGUGGACUUGGUGUUGGAAUGGCUCCGAGCUGCUCCAGUGCCGAAGGGAAGCUGUUAAGUCCACCGCCUGGGAAGUACGGUCGCAAGACUGAACUUAAGGAAUUGCGGGGAGCACCACAACGGCGUGGAGCCUGCGGUUUAAUUGGAUUCAACGCCGGACAUCUCACCAGGGCGACAGCAGAAUGAUGGCCAGGUUGAUGACCUUGCUUGACAAGCUG